CCUACGGGCGGCAGCAGUGAGGAAUAUUGGUCAAUGGCCGUAAGGCUGAACCAGCCAAGUCGCGUGAAGGAAGAAGGAUCUCUGGUUUGUAAACUUCUUUUAUAGGGGAAUAAAGGUAUCCACGUGUGGAUAGUUGCAUGUACCCUAUGAAUAAGCAUCGGCUAACUCCGUGCCAGCAGCCGCGGUAAUACGGAGGAUGCGAGCGUUAUCCGGAUUUAUUGGGUUUAAAGGGUGCGUAGGUGGUUUUUUAAGUCAGCGGUGAAAGUUUGUGGCUCAACCAUAAAAUUGCCGUUGAAACUGGAAGGCUUGAGUGUGGUUGAGGUAGGCGGAAUGCGUGGUGUAGCGGUGAAAUGCAUAGAUAUCACGCAGAACUCCGAUUGCGAAGGCAGCUUACUAAGCCAUAACUGACGCUGAAGCACGAAAGCGUGGGGAUCAAACAGGAUUAGAUACCCGAGUAGUC
Molecule: ribosomal RNA, 460 nt
Filed under: uncultured bacterium
Lineage: Bacteria
Description: partial 16S ribosomal RNA
Rfam family: Bacterial small subunit ribosomal RNA
Source: RNAcentral